RNAcentral lists this small RNA (106 nucleotides) under Vibrio parahaemolyticus. Its description in RNAcentral is "Qrr RNA". It matches the Rfam family "Qrr RNA". Rfam says of the family: This family represents a set of small RNAs (the Qrr RNAs) that are thought to be involved in the regulation of quorum sensing in Vibrio species. The record is from RNAcentral. Lineage: Bacteria; Pseudomonadati; Pseudomonadota; Gammaproteobacteria; Vibrionales; Vibrionaceae.
GAUCCUUUCUAAGCCGAGGGUCACCUAGCCAACUGACGUUGUUAGUGAACCCAAUUGUUCACAAGUAUAUACAGCCAAUCACACACCUUGUGGUUGGCUUUUUUUU